This 518-nucleotide long non-coding RNA is filed under the name Homo sapiens (human). RNAcentral describes it as "non-protein coding lnc-ZNF664-3:6". The record is from RNAcentral. Lineage: Eukaryota; Metazoa; Chordata; Mammalia; Primates; Hominidae.
AAGGAGAUGAAAUUGAGAUGGACUUGCCUUGCUCUUGGUGCAGAGCUGUGAUUACAGAGUUGAUGAGAAAGCUGUUCCAACUGUGCAUGGAGAUGCAUUCCGUGGUCAAUCUGCACAUGGCUGUCAGGAACUAGCUGGAGUCAGCAGGAGAGAGAGCAAUGCCUUGUUCAUCCAUCCAGGUGGGGCUCCGAGAGCUUCCAAACCAAUGGAUAAGAAGGAGGAGCCACAGAGGCUAGAAAAGACUGCCGACCACAGUUUGUCCCAUGUAGAACUUUCUGGAACAUUCAGCUGCAGAAAGUGAAUGGGCUCAAAGCUUUCUGUCUCCUUCUGAACAGGCUGUCUAUAAAAACAAAGGAAGCCUGGCUGCCUGGGAGACAGUUCUUGAUGGUUUCAAGACAAGCUGCAGUGUCUCUCUUGGCUGCAGGAUGGGAUGGUUGCCAUGAGUGAGGAGCACAGUUCACCUAAGGCUGCCCUUGUCAGGAGCGGGGAAAGCACCGUUUACCUAAGUGACUUUGGAA